AACCUAUAGAACUAUUAUUUUAGGCAACCCCUGCCCGGUGUGAGCAUUAACGGCCGCAGUACUCUGACUGUGCUAAGGUAGCAUAAUCAAUUGACUUCUAAUUAAAGCCGAGUAUGAAAGGGGCCAUGGGGGGUAACUGUCUCUUAUUAAUAAUACUGAACUUAUUUAAAAGGUGAAAAUACCUUUAAUUCUUACAUUAGACGAGAAGACCCUUAGAAUUAUAAUUAACUACAUAAUUUGUUUAAAAUUUUUGUUGGGGCAACAGUUAUGAAAAUCAUAAUUUAUUUUAUUUAACAAGUCAAUUUUUUAUAAUUAAGGUUUAAUUACCUAAGGGAUAACAGCAUAAUUAAUUUAUUAGUUUAUGACCUCGAUGUUGGACUAAGGACUAAUUUAGUUAGCCGCUAAAUGUGCAGGUUCUGUUCGAACCUACUAUCCUU
This 437-nucleotide ribosomal RNA is filed under the name Lauria cylindracea. RNAcentral describes it as "partial 16S ribosomal RNA". It matches the Rfam family "Archaeal large subunit ribosomal RNA", at positions 1921 to 2666 of the family's 2987-position model. The record is from RNAcentral. Lineage: Eukaryota; Metazoa; Mollusca; Gastropoda; Stylommatophora; Punctidae.